AUGGCGUUGUGGGCGGGGCUGGGGCAGGCGGCGACGGUUGCGCAGCUGGUUGGGGUGGACGCCGGCGGGCUCAUCUCCCUCAUCACGCAGGCGGCGUUGACGGCUCGCCAGAACAAGAAGGCCUGCGAGCAGCUCUCACGCCGCGUCCACAUGAUCGCCGACCUGCUGCCGCACCUCCAGGAACCGGAGUUGAUGCGCCGGCCCGAGUUCCAGCGGCCUCUGGCCGGGCUGGGCGACACGCUCCGGGAGGCGCACGACCUCGUCAUGGUCUGCCAGCGGAAGAGCCGCUUCUACCGCUUCUUCAUGUCCGGGAGGCUGGCUGACAAGUUCAGGGACAUCCAAACGUCCACCUCCCAGUCCCACCCAAUCCAUGUCUUGGAGGGUGUUGCCAGGUUCACGCUGGCAGAGAUCGCGGCGGCGUCCAACAGCUACGCCUUCUUCACCAAGGUCGGCAAGGGCACCUCCGGGACGGUGUACAGAGGCAGGCUCCGCGACGGCAGGGACGUGGCCAUCAAGCGCAUCAGCAAGACAGCGCAGGACAGGGAGAUGGUGCUGCGCACGGAGCUCGCCGUCGUCCCGCACCCGCGCCACAGCCACUUCGUGCGCCUCCUCGGCUGGUGCGCGGAGGAGGACGAGCGCCUGCUCGUCACCGAGUACAUGAGCAACGGCUCGCUCCACGACCACCUGCACGGCCGCAAGCCGCCUUCCUCGCCGGUGACGGCGUCCUGGAAGACGCGCGUCGAGGUGCUCCUGGGCGCGUCGCGCGCCAUCAAGCACCUCCACCGCAGCUUCGUGCCGUCGGUCAUCCACUGCAACAUCAAGUCGUCCAACAUCCUGCUGAACGCUAGCUGGACGCCGCGCUUGUCGGACCUAGGCUUCUCGGUCCGGCACGAGACGGGCGAGGGGGAGCACCACUACCAGUACCAGCUGCAGGUCGUGGGCAAGGGCGGCUACAUCGAUCCGGAGUACUGCCGCACGGGGCGCCUGACGCCGGCGACCGACGUGUACAGUUUCGGCGUCGUGAUGCUGGAGGUUUUGACGGGCAGGCCGCCGGUCAUAACUACUCGGGGCGAGGAGGAGCAGGGCGAGGUCCAGACGGACCUGGUGCACUUCGCGCUCCCACUUAUCGAGGCCGGCGAGCUGGACAAGGUGCUGGACGGGCGCCCGGAGCCGCGGCCGACGCCGAUGCAGAUCGAGGCGCUGCAGUGGGUGGCCAACACGGCGGUGGUGUGUCUGCACCGGCAGUCGAUACUCCGGCCACGGAUAUCAGAGGUCGUGGCUAAUCUCGAGACAGCGCUCAGGCUCGCCACCGGUUAG
Molecule: ribosomal RNA, 1317 nt
Filed under: Triticum aestivum (bread wheat)
Lineage: Eukaryota; Viridiplantae; Streptophyta; Magnoliopsida; Poales; Poaceae
Description: partial small subunit ribosomal RNA
Source: RNAcentral